Molecule: long non-coding RNA, 243 nt
Filed under: Amborella trichopoda
Lineage: Eukaryota; Viridiplantae; Streptophyta; Magnoliopsida; Amborellales; Amborellaceae
Description: long non-coding RNA (ATRI_LNC004855)
Source: RNAcentral
CCAAUUUGACUGGUUGAGGCCCGCUCAAAGAAAGGAACAAAGAUUGUCCCACAUUGAAAUUGCAAGGAAGGUUAAGUUAAUAUAAAAUGAAGUUUACCGGUUAAAUGCACACGAGCGUGUCAUGUGGAAGCCGCUUUAUUGAGUUUGCGAGACAGGAUUUAUUGUGUCUAGAUCAUGAUGCUAUCAAUACGAAUCGUGCGAUGUUUUUAAUUCAAAAUUUUAAAAUAAAUUGCCCGAUUUAUU